This 2861-nucleotide long non-coding RNA is filed under the name Sus scrofa (pig). RNAcentral describes it as "lncRNA (ENSSSCG00030029857.1)". The record is from RNAcentral. Lineage: Eukaryota; Metazoa; Chordata; Mammalia; Artiodactyla; Suidae.
UUUUUUUUUUUUUCCUUUUUCUUUAGAGCUGCACCUGAACCACAUUGAAAUUUCCAGGCUAGGGAUUGAAUCAGAGCUGCAACUGCCAGCUUACACCACAGCCACAGCAAUGUGGGAUCCCUAACCUACCGAGAGAGGCCAGGGAUCAAAUCUGCCCCCCCCAUGGAUACUAGUUGGGUUUGUAACAUGCUGAACCACAAUGGGAACUCCAGUAAUAGAGGGUUUUUAUGUCGCUUUAGAAAAGAGAAGUAUCCUGCAAUGUUAUCUCACAGAAGUCAAAGACACAUAAGGUUUAAUCUGAGUUUAGGAUCAGGUGUUACACACUAUUAAAUAGUUAUGGUUUCAAUUAAAGAAAUAUUUGAGUGAAUUUUUUUAAGAAAACAGUGAUUUAAAAAAAAAAGCAAAGUUACAUGAACAUUCUGUCAAGCUCUUUUAUAUGAUAUAUGUCAUUUAGUACAUAAAAUAUCAUACAUAAAUCAAUUUAAAAUUGCAUGGUGCACACCACCUUAGCUCAUAAUCAAGGUUAAUAUCAAGAAUGAUACAUCACAUUGGUAGCAUAUAAUCUUGAUAUGAUUUGCUAGGAUUGCCACAUUAUAUCUGUGGUCUUCCUUCCAAAAUACACAACCCAGUCUAAAAAUGAGAAAAAAAAUCAGACAAAUCCCAGUUGAGAGACAUUCUACAAAAUACCUGAUUAUUAAAGGCUUCUCAAAACCAUCAAAAACAAGGAAUGUUUGAGAAACUGUUGCAACCUAAAAUGUGAUGACUAAAUGUAAUACCAUAUCCUGCAUGGGAUCCUAGAAUAGAAAAAAAGAUAUCAGGGGAAAAAUUAAGGAAAUCUCAAUAAAGUAUGUAAAGUUAAUAAUAAUAGAUUAAGGAGUUCCCACUGUGGCUCAGUAGGUUAAGAAUCCAAUACAGGAGUUCCUGUUGUGGCACAGCGGUAACUAACCUGACUAGUAUCCAUGAAGACAUGGGUUCAAUCCCUGGUCUCGCUCAGUGGGUUGAGGAUCCAGCGUUGCUGUGAGUUGUGGUAUAGGUUGCAGAUGUGGCUUGGAUCUGGUGGUGUUGUGGCUGUGGUGUAAACUGAUAGGUACAGCUAGCUCCUAUUUGACCCCUAGCCUGGUAACCUCCAUAUGCUGCAAGUGUAGCCCUAAAAAAAAAAAGAACCCAACAUAGUAUCUGUGAGGAUGUAGGUUCGAUCCCUGGCCUCACUUACUGCAUUAAGGAUCCAGCAUUGCUGCAAGCUGUGGCAUAGGUCAUAGAUGUGGCUCAGAUCCCAAGAUGCUGCAGCUCUGUGGCUGUGACUUGCAGCUGCAGCUCUGAUUUGACCACUAGCCCAGGAAAUUCCAUAUGCUGCAAGUAUGACCAAAAAAGAAAAAAAAAUUAAUAUUGGUUUACAAGAUGUGACAAUGUACUGUACUGAUGUGGAUUAAUAAUGUAAUGUAAUAAUGUAAUUGAUUAAUAAUAAGGGAAACCAGGUGUGGCAUAAACUGGAACUCUCUGUACUCUCUAAUUUUUUUGGUAAAUCUAGAGCUAUUCUAAAGUAAGCUUCUUAAGAAAUGAAUUAGCUAGUAGCAGGAAUUUUAUUUUAAAUGCUGCAAAUAACCAACUUGAUUGAUUAUAUUUUUGUUUAGGGGAGUAUUUAUUGAUUUGUUCCUAUUUUGUUAUUGAAUACUUUGGAUGUUUUGAUAAAAAUUUCAAUAACACCUGGUCAUUUAGGGUGACAUUGAUUAACCUGCUAAAUUUAGCUAUUGAGGAAAGUCCAGGUGUCUGCUGAAGUGUUUUUCUUUUCCCCAGUUUUAUAGGUUCAGCUCCAUCCAAGGAACUCCACAUUAAAACCCUUCAAAAUGAAGAACACUUUGACCUGAUUCUGUCAGCCCAGCCUCAACUGUAUUUUAGCUCCUGCGUUCCCGACAGAAAAACGCAGUUUCCAGACAGUUCUAAGGCCCCACAUAUCUCUUUGUGAUUCUACAAAAGCUCUGCUUCCAUUUUCUCAUGUUCUUUAAGUCUUUCUCUUUCUAAGGUCCAAUCCUCGUCAGCAACCAGGUAAGUUCUUGCUCAGGCUUAAUGAAAUUCCAGACUAUAUAAUGCCCAUUUUGGAAAACCUAAAUAUAUCUAAAUUUAUAACCAGUGUCAGGAUGAGAAAAUUAAACUACCAAACAUCCUGAAUUCAAAGCAAGGUUGUUUCAAAUUCAUAUUCUAAAGGACACUGCAUUCAGAUCUAAAUAUAUGAGAUGUUCUUUUACUUCUUGCAUUAAUUUGAAAGAGCAAAAUAUUUUCAAGAGAGUACCUUGUGCAAACUACUUGGAAGCCUUUAAAAAUUUUUUUUAUUAUAGUUGAUUUACCAUGUUCUGUCAAUUCCUGCUAUAACUUAGAAGCCUUUUGCUCUGACAAGUUUUUUUAUGUGGUGAUGGUUCUCAAUACUCCUCCAGAAAAUGUAUUUUUUGUUGUAAUUACAUUCACUAAUGAGGAAUUUAUUUAAGUAUCAGCAUAGGGUUUUUCCACUUGGCACCAUUGAUAUUUUGGGCUGGCUCAUCCUUUGUUGUGGGGGACUGUCCCGUGCAUGGUAGGAUAUCUAGCAGCACUGCUGGCCUCUAGCCACAGGAUGCCAGCAGCACCCACUCUACAGCUAUGACAGCCUAAAGUGUCUCCAGACAUUGUCAAAUCACCUCCAGUUGAAGACCGCUGCUGUAGUGCAAUGAUCAAAAUUCAGUUUUAUUUAAACUGUUGAAAUAUUUCAUUUGACUUGGCUUUGUGUGUGUGUGUGUCUUUUUUUUUUUUAAGGGCCACACCCUCAGCUUAUGGAAGUUCCCAGGCUAGGGGUCAAGUCAGAGGUGUAGCUGCUGGCAUAUACCACAGCCACA